This 253-nucleotide ribosomal RNA is filed under the name uncultured bacterium. RNAcentral describes it as "partial 16S ribosomal RNA". It matches the Rfam family "Bacterial small subunit ribosomal RNA", at positions 524 to 776 of the family's 1533-position model. The record is from RNAcentral.
UACAGAGGGUGCAAGCGUUGUUCGGAAUUAUUGGGCGUAAAGGGCGCGUAGGCGGUGCGGUAAGUCUGUAGUGAAAUCUCUGGGCUCAACUCAGAGUCUGCUGCAGAAACUGCCGUGCUUGAGUGUGGGAGAGGUGAGUGGAAUUCCCGGUGUAGCAGUGAAAUGCGUAGAUAUCGGGAGGAACACCUGUGGCGAAAGCGGCUCACUGGACCACAACUGACGCUGAGGCGCGAAAGCUAGGGGAGCAAACAGG